AAAACUUUCAACAACGGAUCUCUUGGUUCUCGCAUCGAUGAAGAACGCAGCGAAAUGCGAUAAGUAGUGUGAAUUGCAGAAUUCAGUGAAUCAUCGAAUCUUUGAACGCACAUUGCGCCUCCUGGUAUUCCGGGAGGCAUGCCUGUUCGAGCGUCAUUA
Molecule: ribosomal RNA, 159 nt
Filed under: fungal endophyte WMS5
Lineage: Eukaryota; Fungi; Ascomycota; Pezizomycetes; Pezizales
Also listed under: 4 other names
Description: 5.8S ribosomal RNA
Rfam family: 5.8S ribosomal RNA
About the family: 5.8S ribosomal RNA (5.8S rRNA) is a component of the large subunit of the eukaryotic ribosome.
Source: RNAcentral